RNAcentral lists this ribosomal RNA (253 nucleotides) under uncultured bacterium. RNAcentral describes it as "partial 16S ribosomal RNA". It matches the Rfam family "Bacterial small subunit ribosomal RNA", at positions 524 to 776 of the family's 1533-position model. The record is from RNAcentral.
UACGAAGGGGGCUAGCGUUGCUCGGAAUCACUGGGCGUAAAGCGCGCGUAGGCGGACUCUUAAGUCAGGGGUGAAAUCCUGGAGCUCAACUCCAGAACUGCCUUUGAUACUGGGAGCCUUGAGUUCGGGAGAGGUGAGUGGAACUGCGAGUGUAGAGGUGAAAUUCGUAGAUAUUCGCAAGAACACCAGUGGCGAAGGCGGCUCACUGGCCCGAUACUGACGCUGAGGUGCGAAAGCGUGGGGAGCAAACAGG